This 252-nucleotide ribosomal RNA is filed under the name uncultured bacterium. RNAcentral describes it as "partial 16S ribosomal RNA". It matches the Rfam family "Bacterial small subunit ribosomal RNA", at positions 29 to 289 of the family's 1533-position model. The record is from RNAcentral.
ACGAACGCUGGCGGCAUGCCUAAUACAUGCAAGUCGAGCGGUGCAGCAAUGCAUAGCGGCGGACGGGUGAGUAACGCGUGGGCAACCUGCCUCAAAGGUUGGGAUAACACCCCGAAAGGGGUGCUAAUACCGAGUGUGCUCUAGGUGCCGCAUGGCAUAUAGAGGAUAGGAGAAAUCCGUUUUUGAGAUGGGCCCGCGUCUGAUUAGCUAGUUGGUAGGGUAACGGCCUACCAAGGCGACGAUCAGUGGCCG